UUAAGCGACUAAGCGUACACGGUGGAUGCCUAGGCAGUCAGAGGCGAUGAAGGGCGUGCUAAUCUGCGAAAAGCGUCGGUAAGCUGAUAUGAAGCGUUAUAACCGACGAUACCCGAAUGGGGAAACCCAGUGCAAUACGUUGCACUAUCGUUAGAUGAAUACAUAGUCUAACGAGGCGAACCGGGGGAACUGAAACAUCUAAGUACCCCGAGGAAAAGAAAUCAACCGAGAUUCCCCCAGUAGCGGCGAGCGAACGGGGAGGAGCCCAGAGUCUGAAUCAGUUUGUGUGUUAGUGGAAGCGUCUGGAAAGUCGCACGGUACAGGGUGAUAGUCCCGUACACCAAAAUGCACAGGCUGUGAACUCGAUGAGUAGGGCGGGACACGUGACAUCCUGUCUGAAUAUGGGGGGACCAUCCUCCAAGGCUAAAUACUCCUGACUGACCGAUAGUGAACCAGUACCGUGAGGGAAAGGCGAAAAGAACCCCGGCGAGGGGAGUGAAAUAGAACCUGAAACCGUGUACGUACAAGCAGUGGGAGCACCUUCGUGGUGUGACUGCGUACCUUUUGUAUAAUGGGUCAGCGACUUAUAUUUUGUAGCAAGGUUAACCGAAUAGGGGAGCCGUAGGGAAACCGAGUCUUAACUGGGCGUCUAGUUGCAAGGUAUAGACCCGAAACCCGGUGAUCUAGCCAUGGGCAGGUUGAAGGUUGGGUAACACUAACUGGAGGACCGAACCGACUAAUGUUGAAAAAUUAGCGGAUGACUUGUGGCUGGGGGUGAAAGGCCAAUCAAACCGGGAGAUAGCUGGUUCUCCCCGAAAGCUAUUUAGGUAGCGCCUCGUGAACUCAUCUUCGGGGGUAGAGCACUGUUUCGGCUAGGGGGCCAUCCCGGCUUACCAAACCGAUGCAAACUCCGAAUACCGAAGAAUGUUAUCACGGGAGACACACGGCGGGUGCUAACGUCCGUCGUGAAGAGGGAAACAACCCAGACCGCCAGCUAAGGUCCCAAAGUCAUGGUUAAGUGGGAAACGAUGUGGGAAGGCACAGACAGCCAGGAUGUUGGCUUAGAAGCAGCCAUCAUUUAAAGAAAGCGUAAUAGCUCACUGGUCGAGUCGGCCUGCGCGGAAGAUAUAACGGGGCUAAACCAUGCACCGAAGCUGCGGCAGCGACGUUUAGGCGUUGUUGGGUAGGGGAGCGUUCUGUAAGCCGUUGAAGGUGACCUGUGAGGGUUGCUGGAGGUAUCAGAAGUGCGAAUGCUGACAUAAGUAACGAUAAUGCGGGUGAAAAACCCGCACGCCGGAAGACCAAGGGUUCCUGUCCAACGUUAAUCGGGGCAGGGUGAGUCGACCCCUAAGGCGAGGCUGAAAAGCGUAGUCGAUGGGAAACAGGUUAAUAUUCCUGUACUUGGUGUUACUGCGAAGGGGGGACGGAGAAGGCUAGGCUGGCCGGGCGACGGUUGUCCCGGUUUAAGCGUGUAGGGGGAGUGACCAGGUAAAUCCGGUUGCUUAUCAACCCUGAGGCGUGAUGACGAUGCACCACGGUGCAGAAGCAGUUGAUGCCAUGCUUCCAGGAAAAGCCUCUAAGCAUCAGGUAACAUUAAAUCGUACCCCAAACCGACACAGGUGGUCAGGUAGAGAAUACUCAGGCGCUUGAGAGAACUCGGGUGAAGGAACUAGGCAAAAUGGUGCCGUAACUUCGGGAGAAGGCACGCUGGCGUUAGGUGAAAGGACUAGCUCCUGGAGCUGAAGCCAGUCGCAGAUACCAGCUGGCUGCAACUGUUUAAUAAAAACACAGCACUGUGCAAACACGAAAGUGGACGUAUACAGUGUGACGCCUGCCCGGUGCUGGAAGGUUAAUUGAUGGGGUCAGCCGCGAGGCGAAGCUCUUGAUCGAAGCCCCAGUAAACGGCGGCCGUAACUAUAACGGUCCUAAGGUAGCGAAAUUCCUUGUCGGGUAAGUUCCGACCUGCACGAAUGGCGUAAUGAUGGCCAGGCUGUCUCCACCCGAGACUCAGUGAAAUUGAACUCGCUGUGAAGAUGCAGUGUACCCGCGGCAAGACGGAAAGACCCCGUGAACCUUUACUAUAGCUUGACACUGAACAUUGAGCCUUGAUGUGUAGGAUAGGUGGGAGGCCUUGAAGUGUGGACGCCAGUCUGCAUGGAGCCAACCUUGAAAUACCACCCUUUAAUGUUUGAUGUUCUAACUCGGCCCCAUGAUCUGGGGUGAGGACAGUGUCUGGUGGGUAGUUUGACUGGGGCGGUCUCCUCCCAAAGAGUAACGGAGGAGCACGAAGGUUAGCUAAUCACGGUCGGACAUCGUGAGGUUAGUGCAAAGGCAUAAGCUAGCUUGACUGCGAGAGUGACGGCUCGAGCAGGUACGAAAGUAGGUCUUAGUGAUCCGGUGGUUCUGAAUGGAAGGGCCAUCGCUCAACGGAUAAAAGGUACUCCGGGGAUAACAGGCUGAUACCGCCCAAGAGUUCAUAUCGACGGCGGUGUUUGGCACCUCGAUGUCGGCUCAUCACAUCCUGGGGCUGAAGUAGGUCCCAAGGGUAUGGCUGUUCGCCAUUUAAAGUGGUACGCGAGCUGGGUUUAGAACGUCGUGAGACAGUUCGGUCCCUAUCUGCCGUGGGCGUUGGAAGAUUGAGAGGGGCUGCUCCUAGUACGAGAGGACCGGAGUGGACGAAUCACUGGUGUUCGGGUUGUCAUGCCAAUGGCAUUGCCCGGUAGCUAAAUUCGGAAGAGAUAACCGCUGAAAGCAUCUAAGCGGGAAACUUGCCUCGAGAUGAGUCUUCCCUGGGGCUUAAAGCCCCCUGAAGGAACGUUAAAGACUAUGACGUUGAUAGGCUGGGUGUGUAAGUGCAGCGAUGUAUUGAGCUAACCAGUACUAAUGAUCCGUGAGGCUUAACCUU
Molecule: ribosomal RNA, 2905 nt
Filed under: Yersinia pestis 1412
Lineage: Bacteria; Pseudomonadati; Pseudomonadota; Gammaproteobacteria; Enterobacterales; Yersiniaceae
Description: bacterial LSU rRNA
Rfam family: Bacterial large subunit ribosomal RNA
Source: RNAcentral